AGGCCUGCGGGUUGUAAAGCACUUUCAGKAGAGAAGAAAAGCCUGGAGUUAAUACCUCCGGGUCUUGACGUAACCUACAGAAGAAGCACCGGCUAACUCCGUGCCAGCAGCCGCGGUAAUACGGAGGGUGCGAGCGUUAAUCGGAAUUACUGGGCGKAAAGCGCACGUARGCGGCUGGGWCAGUCRGAUGUGAAAGCCCCGGGCUUAACCUGGGAACUGCAUUCKAUACUGCCCAGCUAGAGWAUGGRAGAGGGAAGCGGAAUUUCCGGUGUARCGGUGAAAUGCKUAGAUAUCSGGAGGAACACCAGKGGMSAAKGCGGCUUCCUGGACCAAUACUGACACUGARGCGCGAAAGCGUGRGGAGCAAACAKGAUUAGAUACCCUGGUAGUCCACGCCCUAWACSAUGAGAACUASCCGUUGGGGGUAUUUAAACCUCUAGUGGCGCAGCUAACSCGAUAAGUUCUCCGCCUGGGGAGUACGGMCGCAAGGSUAAWACUCAAAGGAAUUGACRGGGGCCCRCACAAGCGGUGGAGCAUGUGGUUUAAUUCRAAGCAWCSCGCAGAACCUUACCCGGGCUAGAAAAACUGARAACUUUGAASAAACUCGAAGGUGCUCGCAAGAGAACUCAGGUCCAGGUGCUGCAUGGCUGUCGUCAGCUCGUGUCRUGAGAUGUUGGGUUAAGUCCCGCWACGAGCGCAACCCUUGUCGCCAGUUGCUAA
This 720-nucleotide ribosomal RNA is filed under the name uncultured bacterium. RNAcentral describes it as "partial 16S ribosomal RNA". It matches the Rfam family "Bacterial small subunit ribosomal RNA", at positions 412 to 1121 of the family's 1533-position model. The record is from RNAcentral.